AAAGCUGUAGCCUCGAUCCCAGGCCGAGUUUUCGCUUUUAUAACGGUUAGGCGAACAACUGGGCCUGGUACUAGUUGUCUGCGCAUGCGUCAAUCGUUUGUCAGAUUCUGACGAAUGGAUAUUCUCGUUCACUUUCGUGACAUUUAUAUUCGUGUACUAUCGUGUACUAGAAGUCAGUUCCCGUUUUAUCAUUAUUGGAAUCGAUUGGAAUGGCUCUUAGCUGAAGCUUCUCUCUUCUCUGAAGCUUAUUCUGAAGACUGAACAACAAGGGAAGAGGUAUAAAGCUUUGUCAAGCUUGUUAAGGUCAGAUAUUUUUGUGUGGGCCCUAUGGCCGGCUAUGCUAUCAAGUCUUGUUCAUGUUUGGCAAGAAUGUAGGUAGACUAUAGUUUCAUCAUUAAUAUGGUGGAUCAAGUGAAGAGUGUGAGCUAGAGAACUUGGUGCUGCCAUCAUCAGCUCGUCGACAAUGACACUAUAACCGAGAAAUUUAAUAUGUAUAGAUCUACACGUAUUUAAAAUGUCUACUUCUCUGUACAGGAGCAAUGGCUAAUAUCCAGCUAUCCCAACAGUGCUCCUCUUGGCUAUACUAACGGACGAGACUGGACAGUUUGAGACACAGGACUGGAGUAUGACCUGCUCAUUCGAGCGUUGCUGGGUAGCUCAGAGACAUCAAGAGAAUCUACGUUUUCUCAAGCAAUGAGUUACGAGUUGGGGCCUAGAAUCAGAGAAGUCCAGCAGCCUGCUAAAUCUUUUUGAAACGUAAUUUGAAGGCAUUCAAUCAUCCUGAAGUUGCCCUGGGUCACUGUAAUUGUGCUGCAGCACAACUGGCAACUCCCCAGGCCUUUGUGAAGCAGCUCCCUAUGUGCAUCUUUUGUGUACUCACUCUGUGCAUUUUCUGUGUACAAAUUUCUAUUAUUGAUUUAUUAAA
Halichondria panicea is the source of this 925-nucleotide long non-coding RNA. RefSeq lists it as uncharacterized. The record is from RefSeq and is a predicted model, not a curated record. The transcript is spliced from 2 exons. Lineage: Eukaryota; Metazoa; Porifera; Demospongiae; Suberitida; Halichondriidae.